Molecule: ribosomal RNA, 634 nt
Filed under: Mycobacterium sp. Se1Pw_3187
Lineage: Bacteria; Bacillati; Actinomycetota; Actinomycetes; Mycobacteriales; Mycobacteriaceae
Description: bacterial SSU rRNA
Rfam family: Bacterial small subunit ribosomal RNA
Source: RNAcentral
GCCUGAUGCAGCGACGCCGCGUGAGGGAUGACGGCCUUCGGGUUGUAAACCUCUUUCAGCAGGGACGAAGCGCAAGUGACGGUACCUGUAGAAGAAGGACCGGCCAACUACGUGCCAGCAGCCGCGGUAAUACGUAGGGUCCGAGCGUUGUCCGGAAUUACUGGGCGUAAAGAGCUCGUAGGUGGUUUGUCGCGUUGUUCGUGAAAACUCACAGCUCAACUGUGGGCGUGCGGGCGAUACGGGCAGACUUGAGUACUGCAGGGGAGACUGGAAUUCCUGGUGUAGCGGUGGAAUGCGCAGAUAUCAGGAGGAACACCGGUGGCGAAGGCGGGUCUCUGGGCAGUAACUGACGCUGAGGAGCGAAAGCGUGGGGAGCGAACAGGAUUAGAUACCCUGGUAGUCCACGCCGUAAACGGUGGGUACUAGGUGUGGGUUUCCUUCCUUGGGAUCCGUGCCGUAGCUAACGCAUUAAGUACCCCGCCUGGGGAGUACGGCCGCAAGGCUAAAACUCAAAGAAAUUGACGGGGGCCCGCACAAGCGGCGGAGCAUGUGGAUUAAUUCGAUGCAACGCGAAGAACCUUACCUGGGUUUGACAUGCACAGGACGCUGGUAGAGAUAUCAGUUCCCUUGUGGC